This 253-nucleotide ribosomal RNA is filed under the name uncultured bacterium. Its description in RNAcentral is "partial 16S ribosomal RNA". It matches the Rfam family "Bacterial small subunit ribosomal RNA", at positions 524 to 776 of the family's 1533-position model. The record is from RNAcentral.
UACGGGGGGGGCAAGCGUUGUUCGGAAUUACUGGGCGUAAAGGGCGCGUAGGCGGCCUGCUAAGUCGGACGUGAAAUCCCUCGGCUCAACCGGGGAACUGCGUCCGAUACUGGUUGGCUUGAGUUUGGGAGAGGGAUGCGGAAUUCCAGGUGUAGCGGUGAAAUGCGUAGAUAUCUGGAGGAACACCGGUGGCGAAGGCGGCAUCCUGGACCAAUACUGACGCUGAGGAGCGAAAGCCAGGGGAGCAAACGGG